Long non-coding RNA from Dermochelys coriacea (leatherback sea turtle), 1618 nucleotides. RefSeq lists it as uncharacterized. NCBI's taxonomy places the organism in Eukaryota, Metazoa, Chordata, Testudines, Dermochelyidae. The record is from RefSeq and is a predicted model, not a curated record. The transcript has 2 exons.
AGAGUUCAGUGACCUUGUUUCAAGAGGCAGGAUGAUCUCAUGCUGUUCUUCCCUUCUUGUGGGCAUUUCAGUUCCCUUAUAACGUGGUGAAGAGAACACAUCAGGACCGAACAAGGAUGAUCCUGAUUGCCCCAGCUUACCCAAGACAGCAGUGGUACACAGACCUGCUUCUGCUGUUGAGUGGAGUUGGCAAGGAUCUCCCUUGGUUUCCAGACCUAUUGUCUCAGCAGCAGCGUAGGAUCCUUCAUCUAGAUCCUCAGUCUCUGCAUCUGACAGCCUGGGCAAUUGGACCUUGACUGAUAUUGAGCAAUCCUGUUCCUUGUUAGUUCAAAAUGUAUUGCUCCAUUCAAGAAAUGGCCAUUGCAGCUACGAAAGUCAUGGUCUUGGAAAGUCACGGAAUCUCUGACUUCCACGACCUCCAUGACAGAAUUGCAGCCUUAACCAUUGAAUGUUAGAAGUUAGCAGCAGUCCCUGUGCCUGCUCUUUUAAGGUACCGUUUUAAUGGAGCAGUGGGCAGCAUCUUUUGCUUGCCUUAAACGUGUAGUUAUUGGGGAAAUAUGUAAGGUGGUAGUUGGAAGUCCAGUCCAGACCUUUACUAAACAUUGUCCAUUGGAUUUGGCUUCAAGAGCAGAUGCCAUGUUUGGCAGAGCAGUGCUUCAAUCAUUAUUUAAUUAGGAUUCUGUUCUGUCCUCCUGAAUUUUGAGCACUGCUUGCCAAACUACCUGUAAGUGAGAGUUUGCAGAGCCGCUCAAAGAAGAAAUGUAGGUUGGUUACUUGUAACCAGGAUUCUUCAAGAACACUCUGAAUAUUCACCCAUCCUGCCCAUCUUUCCCUCUUUUUAAGAGUCCUAAUUUGGUUUCUCUGGGUUAGCGGUGGAAGGAACUGAAGUGGUAGAGGGAGCGGUAUCCCUUUAUAUAGUCAUUUUCAGAACAUUCGGAGAUGCUGAAGGGGGAGGGGAAGGAAGGGGUGGGGUGCACAUGUGCACUAACGGGCCCUGUUUGGAGAUGAUCCUGCCAUUGGGCUGCACCAGGCAGAGCAAUCCCCAUAAAUGUGAAUAUGCAGAAUCAUUUCGAAGAACUCUGGUUACAAGUAAGUAACUUGCAUUUACUUACAUUAUAGUAUGGGUGGUUCUUCAAGAUCUUAUCAUUUGUGUAGGUCCCAUGACUCAUCCUCUAUCCCUGCUCUUUCCUUAUCUGGAGUUCUAAAUUAGCAAGGGAAUUGAGGGACAGUUGUGGCUGCUGUGCCCAUUAUGCCCACAGGUGGUGAACCUGACGACAUGCAGCGUGCAGCCACAACUUAAAAGAUGCUCCCAUUCAAAAGCUCUGACGCAUGCACACAGAGUGGGGUCAACACAGAUGACAUCAUUUUGAAGAAUCACAAUUAAUAAAAGGCAAAUAACUGAUCUUUCCCUGUUCUAUCCUUAUUAAUUAAGCAUAAUUCUAAUUUGAAGGAAUUAUUUUUAAUGUUGAAAAUUCACUAUAUAUAAUAGACCAAUUCUAGGUAAAGGCUUAAACCUUCAAUGUGUGUGGUUUGAAUAUGCUUGUUUUCCUAAUUAACUUACAUUCUUAUAUUUGAAGUGUUAUGUACAAAAAUGACAUUAAAAAUUGUGUAGCUAAUU